RNAcentral lists this long non-coding RNA (939 nucleotides) under Malus domestica (apple). Its description in RNAcentral is "long non-coding RNA (MDOM_LNC011307)". Lineage: Eukaryota; Viridiplantae; Streptophyta; Magnoliopsida; Rosales; Rosaceae. The record is from RNAcentral.
GAUUGAGACAUGUUUUCCUAAUGCUAGAAGGACUCCUAAGUGUUGUAGGACACAAAUGAGAAGUUUCUAGAAAGUUUACAUCCUUGCCGUGGGUUUCAUGCAAUUCCUAUCAGUUUUGGGGCUUUCUAGAAGCCCUAUCCUUAAUCCCUACAUUGGUGCCGCACCCUAGCUUCUAGAUGCCCUAAUUCCUUGCCUUGCAAGGCAUUCUAGAAGGCCUAUCCAUGUCCCAUAAAUCCUGCCGCACCCCUAUUCCUUAUCCCUUAGGAUUUCUGAUUGUUUUAACCUAAUUCCUUGUGGAUUUGGGUUUUUCAAGUCCAUAUCUGAUUCCCCUAGGGUUUUAAGUGCCUAUAUAUACUCAUAUUAACCCCUAAAUCAGAUCACCACCUCUCAUACACAUUCAUUCAUUCCACAAAUUCAGAAAUUCGUCCAAACACCUCUCCACACUUUUGCCGCACCAUCCCCAUCCCCUAAACACUACUACAUCCAUCCAUCACCAUGCAUCCCUACACCUAAGGUCCUAAACCUGUCCCUAGACCCUUUGCCGCACCAAGGAGGAGGAGAAGGAAGCUCGGAAGUUCAUGCAAUUCAAGUUCGCGUCGCUGGAAUUUCUAGGUGUUUCUUUUCUUUUGAUUUCAAUGUUUAAAUUCAAUUCUCUUUGUUUUGUGCGUAUGAGGAACUAAACCCCCCCCUUGGCUAGGGGGGAUUCGAAAUACAUGUUUAUGCUUGCGUUAUGAUUUGAUUACUUCUAAUUGCGUUUCAUAAGUUGUGAAUUCAAUUUACUUAUCUAUGUGAAUUACAUUGAUUUGUGUGUGUUGGUUGAGAGUGCACGCUUAAUUAUCAUGCAUAAAUUGAAUGCUAGGAUAUAAAGAAAUUUCACCUAAUCGUUAUGGAAUUAUAUUCACAAGUAGUAAAGGUUGAUGAUCUCAAUCGCGUUAAGUA